Non-coding RNA from Microcebus murinus (gray mouse lemur), 1306 nucleotides. The record is from RefSeq and is a predicted model, not a curated record. Lineage: Eukaryota; Metazoa; Chordata; Mammalia; Primates; Cheirogaleidae.
CCGGCGCGCCGGCCCGCCGGGCUAGGGUCCCGAGCUGGGGCCGCGGCCUCUUCCGCUGGCCUCGCGGCCUCGCCGGCGACGGGUCUGGCGGGGAGAGGGGACGGCCCCUGUGCGUAAGAUAAGCACCGGCUGGAGCAGGUCCCCGCACCUGCCAGGUACGGACAGGUAGAGCCGCGGACGUUCAGAUCUAAGAACGUGACAAGUACGCCCUGCCCGAGGGAGGUGCAGUCGCGGGCACACUGAGCGAAUCGGGCACCCAGAGGCUGCUCCACAAACUGUUGGAGUGAAGCCAUAGACAAUCUAUCGAAUUCAGCGACCUGUGACAUUCCACCUGUCACCGCCGUCCUGGCUUCUCAAAUGGAAUGGAGACAGGCUAUUAAACCGCUUUUUAACAAAUUCAGAGCAGCAUGUUCUUGGCUGGGGGGAGAAAAAUUCCACUUAUCAAGAGAUGUUAUUCCUUCAAAGGAUGAGAACCUACUUCUACAUAAAGAGAAUUUGGAGGGAGCGUUUUGUUCUGUGGGGACAUCAUCUGGAUUUGAAUACAUCCCUGCUCAAAAGGAGAUUUAUUAUAAUGGACCCAACUCAAAACACUCAGAGUACAAGGACCGAGGAGCAAAACUGAGGCCACUUGCUGACCAUGACACAGUGGGAGAUGAAUACAUUGUAAGAGAAUGAUAGUGUCUGUUAAGAAUAUUGUCAAUUUCCUGGUGUAUCAGCUGUGACUCCUUACAGAGCAAGUAACCGGACACCCACUGCAAAUGGCUUAACGGGAAUCUCUGUGGCUUAUGUGGUCCAAAUAAGGUCAAUCCUAUUUCCAGGACCAGAUCUAGAAGAAACAAGAAAGCCCACGACUGCUGUUGCUUCUUCCUGCCACACGGUGUCGCUGUUGAAGAUGGGUCCUGGGCAGCCUGGUGCACAUUGCUUGUCAUUGCUCUGCUGUCGUCUCAGGUCCUUCUAUUAGUUCCACUCGAUUUUCCAGAGGAAACAAUAUGCCUUGGCUACAAUUGCAGUUCUUCAAUUAAAUUAGACAAAUACUCAUUGAGUGCCUACUGCAUGCCAGGCUCCGACCUAGGUUCUGGGAAAACAUCAGAACAAAAUAGACAAUGAUAGCUGCCUGCCCUUGUGGGGGCUACACGAUAAACAACAAACACAAUAAAUAAGUAAAUUACAAAGCAUGUUAAAAGGUGUUAAGCACCACGAAGAAAUAAAAGAGUAAAACAGGGUAAGGGGGACUGGGAGCAUGUGGUGGGGUAUUGGGUGGGGUUGUACCAUUGGGAAACAUUCAAUAAAGUCUUGAAGGAGGUGA